UGGGGAAUUUUGGACAAUGGGCGAAAGCCUGAUCCAGCAAUGCCGCGUGUGUGAAGAAGGCCUUCGGGUUGUAAAGCACUUUUGUCCGGAAAGAAAUCCUUGGCUCUAAUACAGUCGGGGGAUGACGGUACCGGAAGAAUAAGCACCGGCUAACUACGUGCCAGCAGCCGCGGUAAUACGUAGGGUGCAAGCGUUAAUCGGAAUUACUGGGCGUAAAGCGUGCGCAGGCGGUUUGCUAAGACCGAUGUGAAAUCCCCGGGCUCAACCUGGGAACUGCAUUGGUGACUGGCAGGCUAGAGUAUGGCAGAGGGGGGUAGAAUUCCACGUGUAGCAGUGAAAUGCGUAGAGAUGUGGAGGAAUACCGAUGGCGAAGGCAGCCCCCUGGGCAAUACUGACGCUCAUGCACGAAAAGCGUGGGGAGCAAACAGGAUUAGAUACCCUGGUAGUCCACGCCCUAAACGAUGUCAACUAGUUGUUGGGGAUUCAUUUCCUUAGUAACGUAGCUAACGCGUGAAGUUGACCGCCUGGGGAGUAC
RNAcentral lists this ribosomal RNA (535 nucleotides) under uncultured bacterium. RNAcentral describes it as "partial 16S ribosomal RNA". It matches the Rfam family "Bacterial small subunit ribosomal RNA", at positions 355 to 883 of the family's 1533-position model. The record is from RNAcentral.